RNAcentral lists this ribosomal RNA (486 nucleotides) under uncultured bacterium. RNAcentral describes it as "partial 16S ribosomal RNA". It matches the Rfam family "Bacterial small subunit ribosomal RNA", at positions 28 to 507 of the family's 1533-position model. The record is from RNAcentral.
GACGAACGCUGGCGGCGUGCUUAACACAUGCAAGUCGAACGGGAUCCAAAGGCUUUUUGUUUUUGGUGAGAGUGGCGAACGGGUGAGUAACACGUGAGUAACCUGCCCCCUUCUUUUGGAUAACCGCAUGAAAGUGUGGCUAAUACAGGAUAUUCCAGGCUGGUCGCAUGAUUGGUUUGGGAAAUGGUUUGGUCUGGUGGGGGAUGGGCUCGCGGCCUAUCAGCUUGUUGGUGGGGUGAUGGCCUACCAAGGCGGUGACGGGUAGCCGGCCUGAGAGGGUGGGCGGUCACACUGGGACUGAGAUACGGCCCAGACUCCUACGGGAGGCAGCAGUGGGGGAUUUUGCACAAUGGGCGCAAGCCUGAUGCAGCGACGCCGCGUGAGGGAUGAAGGCCUGCGGGUUGUAAACCUCUUUCGCUGGGUUGAAAGGCCAUGCUUUGGGUGUGGUUGAUUUGAACUGGUAAAGAAGUACCGGCUAACUACGUG